CCUACGGGUGGCUGCAGUAGGGAAUAUUGGACAAUGGGCGAAAGCCUGAUCCAGCCAUGCCGCGUGAUAGAUGAAGGCCCUCUGGGUUGUAAAUAUCUUUUAUCUGGGAAGAAACAAUCUUAUUCUUAAGAUCUUGACGGUACCAGAGGAAUAAGCACCGGCUAACUCCGUGCCAGCAGCCGCGGUAAUACGGAGGUUGCAGGCGUUAUCCGUAUUAACUGGGUUUAAAGGGUGCUGAUAAGUCAGGGUAGAAAGCUCCGAGCUUAACUUGGAAACUGGCAUUGAUACUGCCAGUCUUGAAUGUCGUAGAGGUAAGCGGAAUGUUGCAUGUAGCGGUGAAAUGCUUAGAUAUGUUACAGAACACCAAUUGCGAAGGCAGCUUACUAUGCGAUGAUUGACGCUGAGGCACGAAAGCGUGGGGAGCAAACAGGAUUAGAUACCCCAGUAGUC
Molecule: ribosomal RNA, 450 nt
Filed under: uncultured bacterium
Lineage: Bacteria
Description: partial 16S ribosomal RNA
Rfam family: Bacterial small subunit ribosomal RNA
Source: RNAcentral